Aphis gossypii (cotton aphid) is the source of this 1570-nucleotide long non-coding RNA. RefSeq lists it as uncharacterized. The record is from RefSeq and is a predicted model, not a curated record. The transcript is spliced from 2 exons. NCBI's taxonomy places the organism in Eukaryota, Metazoa, Arthropoda, Insecta, Hemiptera, Aphididae.
UUCAAUUGAAUUUAAGUUAAACAAAUCAACGUUUAUAUCAUUAGCUAUUGACAUUAUCCUAUUCAUAGGUGAAGGGUGAGGCUGAAGCAUAAUCGGUUUUAUGCGUAAAAUAUAAAACAUAGAAGUUGGUCUAGUUCUACAUUGAGGGACAUAAAAGUUCAGAGAACUUAAAAUUUCAGGGCAAUUGAUGAAAUCUUUGACUAGCUUAAAUAAAAAUUGCAUAUCAUAUAUUUUCCUUCGUACGGAUAAGCUUGCAAUGUCAAAAAAAAAUCUAAUAGUGGAUCUUAAUUCGUGACAACAGGAUUAAUGAAAUCUUUAUAAUUUCUUGUAAUACAGCCUAAAAUAGCAAUAAUUAAUGUAUAUAAUAAUUAGCAAGCAAACGUAUAAGUCGUAGAUAGAUACUUGAAAAUUUAAUACAAAUUUCCUCAUACGUUAUUCUUAUUGUCAUUUAAAAAUUAUAAGAAUAUAUAUGCACAAUUUUAUUUUUAUUAGCUUUUGAAGUUCAAAUAUUGACAAAAUUUCAUCAAAAUCAUGAAUAUUUACAAAUUAUUUUGUAGUUAAAGUUUAUAAAAUUUUACAAUAAAAUGAAAUAUGUAUACACUAUUAUAACAUAGGUAAAUUGUUACUCAUACCUACUUAUUGUAAUGUAGACUUUAUUUAUCUAACAUAUUACAUCAGGAUUAUCUAAUCCAUAACCAACUGACAUUUUUUUAUCAUUGCCAACCUAGUUGUACACAUUCAGGAGGGUAGGUAUUAUAAUAAUACUACUUCACGGGUUUCGGACGUUUAGGUAAAUAAGGAAUUUUGUUGGUAUGGCGAUCCAUCCUUUCAUUUCUUUUAAUAAUACCUAUUCUUACUACAACCAUUUGCAGUAACAUACGGUACAAUUAGCAACCGUGAAAAGGUAAGGUAGUGCUAGUGAAGUACAGGUAAAAUAAAUAAAUGGUAAGAAUAUUACAAAAUAUUUUUAUUAUUUUGUAAGUUUUCGAUAAAUGAUAUUCUAUUGCCGUCAUUGAUUAUAGCUCAGGCUAUAGUACAUUGCUCUUAUGAUAUAAGCGGACACGAAUAAUAAUAUAGAGAAAUACGGCACUAGACUAUUUUUAAUUUAACAACCCUACUGUUAAAGUAUAUAGAUAGAAAAGAGGAACAGCUGGGCGAUUCUAGUAAAAUCCAUAACAGCAAAGCAGUAAUCUAUCAAUUGUGAGCAAACUUAAUCACGCAGAUUUCAAUGUGAAGCCAUAAGUCAACGUAAAACUGAAUGAACAAUAAGGGACUAAACUACUUUUAAUAACUUGUUGAGACAUAAGGGAACAAAAAAUAAUCGUAUUCCAUUUCAGAUUGACAAGAUAAACGGCUGGAAAAUUUCAGCAAAGUAGAUACAGGGGAAAAAACACAUCUAGCAGCAAAAUACAGCAAAUACACAUAACAAAAAACAAGAAAAUCAAAAGUGGAAAACAGAAUCAAGACGACCAGCAGAAGAUUAAUUUCAUUUGAUAGAAAACCUGUAACAUUUACACUACUUUCAAUUAUACACAGUUGAAACUAAAAUCAAUAGAACCCUUUUUAAAUA